UCCACGGGGAAUCGAACCCCGAUCACUCACUUGGCAAGCGAGUAUUCUACCGUUGAACCAU
This 61-nucleotide transfer RNA is filed under the name Diaphanoeca grandis. Lineage: Eukaryota; Choanoflagellata; Acanthoecida; Stephanoecidae. The record is from RNAcentral.